RNAcentral lists this unclassified non-coding RNA (297 nucleotides) under Hevea brasiliensis (rubber tree). Lineage: Eukaryota; Viridiplantae; Streptophyta; Magnoliopsida; Malpighiales; Euphorbiaceae. The record is from RNAcentral.
UGCAACUACAUCGCAACUGGCUCAAGUGACAAAACUGUUCGAUUGUGGGAUGUCCAGAGUGGGGAAUGUGUUAGAAUUUUCAUUGGUCACAGGAGCAUGAUUCUGUCGUUGGCAAUGUCACCUGAUGGUCGGUUUAUGGCAUCUGGUGAUGAAGAUGGUACGAUUAUGAUGUGGGACCUAUCAACGGGUCGCUGUGUUACACCUUUGAUUGGACACACAUCAUGCGUCUGGACCCUUGCCUUCAGUUGUGAGGGCUCUCUCCUUGCCUCUGGCUCUGCCGAUUGCACAGUGAAAUUA